UAGGGAAUCUUCCGCAAUGGGCGAAAGCCUGACGGAGCAACGCCGCGUGAGUGAUGAAGGUCUUCGGAUCGUAAAACUCUGUUAUUAGGGAAGAACAAAUGUGUAAGUAACUAUGCACGUCUUGACGGUACCUAAUCAGAAAGCCACGGCUAACUACGUGCCAGCAGCCGCGGUAAUACGUAGGUGGCAAGCGUUAUCCGGAAUUAUUGGGCGUAAAGCGCGCGUAGGCGGUUUUUUAAGUCUGAUGUGAAAGCCCACGGCUCAACCGUGGAGGGUCAUUGGAAACUGGAAAACUUGAGUGCAGAAGAGGAAAGUGGAAGUCCAUGUGUAGCGGUGAAAUGCGCAGAGAUAUGGAGGAAAACCAGUGGCGAAGGCGACGUUCUGGUCUGUAACUGACGCUGAUGUGCGAAAGCGUGGGGAUCAAACAGG
Molecule: ribosomal RNA, 429 nt
Filed under: Actinomycetes bacterium
Lineage: Bacteria; Bacillati; Actinomycetota; Actinomycetes
Description: Actinobacteria bacterium partial 16S ribosomal RNA
Rfam family: Bacterial small subunit ribosomal RNA
Source: RNAcentral